UGUGGCUGGGGGUGAAAGGCCAAUCAAACCGGGAGAUAGCUGGUUCUCCCCGAAAGCUAUUUAGGUAGCGCCUCGUGAAUUCAUCUCCGGGGGUAGAGCACUGUUUCGGCUAGGGGGCCAUCCCGGCUUACCAACCCGAUGCAAACUGCGAAUACCGGAGAAUGUUAUCACGGGAGACACACGGCGGGUGCUAACGUCCGUCGUGAAGAGGGAAACAACCCAGACCGCCAGCUAAGGUCCCAAAGUCAUGGUUAAGUGGGAAACGAUGUGGGAAGGCCCAGACAGCCAGGAUGUUGGCUUAGAAGCAGCCAUCAUUUAAAGAAAGCGUAAUAGCUCACUGGUCGAGUCGGCCUGCGCGGAAGAUGUAACGGGGCUAAACCAUGCACCGAAGCUGCGGCAGCGAACGUAUCACUUAAAGCGAUUCAGCGGGUUACGAUUGACGGAGCGAAGCGACGUCAAAGCGUAUACAAAGUCGAGUCGGUUUAAGGAUACGUUCGUUGGGUAGGGGAGCGUUCUGUAAGCCUGCGAAGGUGGCCUGUGAGGGUUGCUGG
This 551-nucleotide ribosomal RNA is filed under the name Salmonella enterica. Its description in RNAcentral is "partial 23S ribosomal RNA". It matches the Rfam family "Bacterial large subunit ribosomal RNA", at positions 810 to 1276 of the family's 2925-position model. Lineage: Bacteria; Pseudomonadati; Pseudomonadota; Gammaproteobacteria; Enterobacterales; Enterobacteriaceae. The record is from RNAcentral.